This 98-nucleotide ribosomal RNA is filed under the name uncultured Romboutsia sp. The record is from RNAcentral. Lineage: Bacteria; Bacillati; Bacillota; Clostridia; Peptostreptococcales; Peptostreptococcaceae.
UAUUAUAGCAAAGAGGAUACACCUGUUCCCAUACCGAACACAGAAGUUAAGCUCUUUAGCGGCAAUGGUACUUGGUGGGCAACCGCCUGGGAGAGUAG